UUACGUCGAAACAGCGGUUCCUAUACUAUCAACGAAGUUAAGCAACGUCGAGCCUGGUCAGUACCUAGAUGGCUGACCUCGUGGUAAUACCCGGUGGUGUAAG
Acanthosepion pharaonis is the source of this 103-nucleotide non-coding RNA. Lineage: Eukaryota; Metazoa; Mollusca; Cephalopoda; Sepiida; Sepiidae. The record is from the annotation of a GenBank genome assembly.